UACGUAGGGUGCGAGCGUUAAUCGGAAUUACUGGGCGUAAAGCGUGCGCAGGCGGUUUUGUAAGCCAGAUGUGAAAUCCCCGGGCUUAACCUGGGAAUGGCAUUUGGGACUGCAAGGCUUGAGUGCGGCAGAGGAGACUGGAAUUCCUGGUGUAGCAGUGAAAUGCGUAGAUAUCGGGAGGAACACCAGUGGCGAAGGCGGCACUCUGGGCCGGAACUGACGCUGAGGAGCGAAAGCGUGGGGAGCGAACAGG
RNAcentral lists this ribosomal RNA (253 nucleotides) under uncultured bacterium. RNAcentral's name for it is "partial 16S ribosomal RNA". It matches the Rfam family "Bacterial small subunit ribosomal RNA", at positions 524 to 776 of the family's 1533-position model. The record is from RNAcentral.